Molecule: ribosomal RNA, 253 nt
Filed under: uncultured bacterium
Lineage: Bacteria
Description: partial 16S ribosomal RNA
Rfam family: Bacterial small subunit ribosomal RNA
Source: RNAcentral
UACGUAGGUGACGAGCGUUAUCCGGAAUUAUUGGGCGUAAAGCGCACGCAGGCGGCUUAUCAAGUCUGACGUGAAAUCUCCCAGCUUAACUGGGAGCGGUCGUUGGAAACUGAUGGGCUUGAGGCAAGGAGAGGGGUGUGGAAUUCCCGGUGUAGUGGUGGAAUGCGUAGAGAUCGGGAGGAACAUCAGUGGCGCAAGCGGCACCCUGGCCUUGGCCUGACGCUCAGGUGCGAAAGCGUGGGGAGCGAACGGG